CCUACGGGAGGCAGCAGUGGGGAAUAUUGCGCAAUGGGGGAAACCGUGAUGCACCAACUCCGCGUGAGUGACGACGGUCUUCGGAUUGUAAAGCUCCGUCUUCAGGGACGAUAAUGACGGUCCCUGAGGAGGAAGCCACGCCUAAUUACGUGCCAGCAGCCGCGGUAAU
This 169-nucleotide ribosomal RNA is filed under the name uncultured bacterium. RNAcentral's name for it is "partial 16S ribosomal RNA". It matches the Rfam family "Bacterial small subunit ribosomal RNA", at positions 338 to 524 of the family's 1533-position model. The record is from RNAcentral.